AUAGAGAAGGGGUUAGGGAAAUACCAUGAUCACAAAGAUCAUUCUUCCAGGGCAAGCCUUAUCUAUUGCCCUCCAGAGGUGCUGACUCCUGAGAUUUCCCCAAAUGUGGGAAAGAAACUCAAUUGCAUAAAUUGUGGUGGCGGGGACUGUGUUUGUGCUUUCCCCAG
Aotus nancymaae (Ma's night monkey) is the source of this 167-nucleotide small nuclear RNA. Its record names the gene U1. It matches the Rfam family "U1 spliceosomal RNA". Rfam says of the family: U1 is a small nuclear RNA (snRNA) component of the spliceosome (involved in pre-mRNA splicing). Its 5' end forms complementary base pairs with the 5' splice junction, thus defining the 5' donor site of an intron. The record is from Ensembl. NCBI's taxonomy places the organism in Eukaryota, Metazoa, Chordata, Mammalia, Primates, Aotidae.